Molecule: long non-coding RNA, 555 nt
Filed under: Vigna radiata
Lineage: Eukaryota; Viridiplantae; Streptophyta; Magnoliopsida; Fabales; Fabaceae
Description: long non-coding RNA (VRAD_LNC005769)
Source: RNAcentral
AAUGGAAUCGUAAAGGUCUUGGGUGGCAUGACUAUGGUUGGAUCCUCCGACUCUGAUGGCCUCUUCAUCCAAGAGACACUUUUCACCACAGGAGGCUUUCCAAUGGAAUUUGACAUAGUGAGGUUUGCCAGCUUUGCUGAUGAGGGUAUAUGUGUUGACACCGAAGCCAUCCAUGUGCCUGUAAUCCUGGGGGAUACCUACGUCGUCGAAUAAGAAGGAGAACAUGUGAAGGCUUUCGGGAUGGUGGGAGAAGAAAUCGAGGAUCCUCCAGUUCUCCUGGAUGUGAGACUUGGGAUUAGGUUUCAGGGCAUGGACCAUGUCGGGGAACUUGAGGCCAUCACGGACGAAAAAGACGGGGAAGUUGUUUCCGACGAGAUCGAAGUUACCCUCUCUGGUGUAAAAUUUGACGGCAAAUCCUCUGGGAUCCCUCAAGGUUUCAGGGCUGCCACGCUCGUGGAUGACGGUGGAGAAGCGGACGAUGAGGGGAGUCUGAACUCCAGGUGCGCGAAGGAAGUCAGCACAGGUGAGGUGAGAGAUGUCAUGCGUGACUUCAAA